GCCUGGGUUGCCUGGCAUGGGAGGGGAGGUUAAGGGCUAAACACAAUGAACUUCCCUCAUGCCUGGAGCCUCUGGUCUAUGGAACAUUUAAGGAGGGGAGAGAUGUAACUUCAGAGACUCACUCACUCUUACAGCUAAUCUGGCCUCUGCGUUCUUAGAACUUCUUUUUCCAGAACAUUCUCAGGGUAUGUUGACGGUAUAGUGGUGAAUGUAGCUGUCUUCCAGAACAUUUCCAGAUACUCAUAGAAUUCCUGGAUCUCCAUGGCUUUAGAAGUUAGGAAGGUAAACAAAGCUUAUUCAGAGAGUUGGCCAGCAGUUUUCGGGGAGGAAGAAGAGAUAGGGUAUGGACUUUGGUAUUUCAGACUUCUAAAAUCCCUCCGAAGGACUGUCCAUCACAGCUACAUCGAGCUGUCCUGGCGCCCCGUUGCAGAGGGACAAGCCACACACACUGUGGGCUGUGGUCGGUGAGCAUCUGACAGCCGUGGGGAGAAGUAUCCAGCAAUAAAGGUGUGAAAGCAAGAAGAAUCGCAGGCCUGCCUUAGUGCGGCAGCUGGCAGGGCAGCCGGAGAGGUGCAGCACAUGGCGCUGGGCCACGUCGCGGACUGGAAAUGUCAUUAUCUGCUAUUUACCACGGCAGAGGACAAAUAAAGAAAUGAAGACUGGAAGAGGUGAGCAAGGAGAAAGGACUCCGCCUCAGAUCCUGGCUUCCUGCUUACCCACCUCGGUUAAUGUUUAGCUUUGGAAUGCCUCAGACGGUGCCAUUGCAAAAGCCUAAUGUUUCAAGGCCAACUUUACUGCUUCCAGCACGUCCACCUCUACAGUCCUCUCAGUGCGGGUCACCCACCCCUCUACAGUCCUCUCUGUGCGGGUCACCCACCCCAGCUGAGGCUUAUAGCCUCUGAUUUCUUCCCAGAAUUGGUAAAUCUCUGAAACCAUCUUAGGUGAUCAUGACUUGUCAUUUCUUGUUAUCUUAAGAGAGAAGAUUCCUUUCUUUCUGUCUUGUUCACUUUAAGAACUCCACUCUUGGGGCUGGAGAGAUAGCUCAGCAGUUAAG
Molecule: small RNA, 1054 nt
Filed under: Rattus norvegicus (Norway rat)
Lineage: Eukaryota; Metazoa; Chordata; Mammalia; Rodentia; Muridae
Description: uncharacterized LOC102549419
Source: RNAcentral